UAGGGAAUCUUCCACAAUGGGCGAAAGCCUGAUGGAGCAACGCCGCGUGAGUGAUGAAGGCCUUUGGGUUGUAAAACUCUGUCUUCUGUGACGAACAAGCCUGUGAGUAAAAUGCUCAGGCCCUGACGGUAACAGAGGAGGAAGCCACGGCUAACUACGUGCCAGCAGCCGCGGUAAUACGUAGGUGGCAAGCGUUGUCCGGAAUCACUGGGCGUAAAGCGCGCGCAGGCGGCGAUCUACGUCUGGGGUGAAAGCCCGGAGCUCAACUCCGGGACUGCCUUGGAUACGGGAUCGCUUGAGAAUUGGAGAGGCAAGGGGAAUUCCACGUGUAGCGGUGAAAUGCGUAGAUAUGUGGAGGAACACCUGUGGCGAAGGCGCCUUGCUGGCCAAUUUCUGACGCUGAGGCGCGAAAGCGUGGGGAGCAAACAGGAUUAGAUACCCUGGUAGUCCACGCCGUAAACGAUGAGUGCUAGGUGUUGGGGGUACC
RNAcentral lists this ribosomal RNA (487 nucleotides) under uncultured Bacillota bacterium. Its description in RNAcentral is "bacterial SSU rRNA". It matches the Rfam family "Bacterial small subunit ribosomal RNA", at positions 355 to 833 of the family's 1533-position model. The record is from RNAcentral. Lineage: Bacteria; Bacillati; Bacillota.